UUCCUCAGCAGUCCCAGCAAAGGGAUGUUUUUACAGAUAUCUUGCUGAAAAUCUCAGAUCUGCUGUCUUUCCUCAUGAGAAUUGAGAAUUGCAGACCGGAAGGUGGAUCGUCGCAGCUCAUGUUUAAAGCAGCAAGUAGCAAGUCAAGAUCACUUAGAAGGUAGAUCACCACUUGGAAGGAGCCACGAUAUCGAGUCUGUGUUCUUAUUCUGCACUCUGGAAUGGGGCUCUCCUCUUUUGUUCUGGCUAUCUGUUACCCAAAUAUUGCUGCUGUAGCGUUUGGCCGUUUUAAGGUUUGCAGAACUAUAUAAAACAUUUGAUCAUCCCAGGAGUGGGGGAGGAGCUGAAGGACAUCUCUUACUUUUAAUGAAGCACUGAGGAGAAAGAACAGUGUAACAGAAAGACUAUUUAUAGAGGCUGCUUGCCAAAUCAAAGCCCAAGCUUUAAUUACAUCUGCGCACACUGUAGCCGUGUUU
This is a long non-coding RNA of Gymnogyps californianus (California condor), 476 nucleotides long. RefSeq lists it as uncharacterized. The record is from RefSeq and is a predicted model, not a curated record. NCBI's taxonomy places the organism in Eukaryota, Metazoa, Chordata, Aves, Accipitriformes, Cathartidae. The transcript is spliced from 3 exons.